This 465-nucleotide ribosomal RNA is filed under the name uncultured bacterium. RNAcentral's name for it is "partial 16S ribosomal RNA". It matches the Rfam family "Bacterial small subunit ribosomal RNA", at positions 28 to 507 of the family's 1533-position model. The record is from RNAcentral.
GACGAACGCUGGCGGCGUGCUUAACACAUGCAAGUCGAACGGAAAGGCCCUGCUUGCAGGGUACUCGAGUGGCGAACGGGUGAGUAACACGUGGGUGAUCUGCCCUGCACUUCGGGAUAAGCCUGGGAAACUGGGUCUAAUACCGGAUAGGAGCCAUCCUUAGUGUGAUGGUUGGAAAGUUUUUUCGGUGUAGGAUGAGCUCGCGGCCUAUCAGCUUGUUGGUGGGGUAAUGGCCUACCAAGGCGGCGACGGGUAGCCGGCCUGAGAGGGUGGACGGCCACAUUGGGGCUGAGAUACGGCCCAGACUCCUACGGGGGGCAGCAGUGGGGAAUAUUGCACAAUGGGCGCAAGCCUGAUGCAGCGACGCCGCGUGGGGGAUGACGGCCUUCGGGUUGUAAACUCCGUUCGCUAGGGACGAAGCUUUUUGUGACGGUACCUAGAUAAGAAGCACCGGCUAACUACGUG